This 496-nucleotide ribosomal RNA is filed under the name uncultured bacterium. RNAcentral describes it as "partial 16S ribosomal RNA". It matches the Rfam family "Bacterial small subunit ribosomal RNA", at positions 28 to 506 of the family's 1533-position model. The record is from RNAcentral.
GAUGAACGCUGGCGGCGUGCCUAAUACAUGCAAGUCGAGCGAACGGACGAGAAGCUUGCUUCUCUGAUGUUAGCGGCGGACGGGUGAGUAACACGUGGAUAACCUACCUAUAAGACUGGGAUAACUUCGGGAAACCGGAGCUAAUACCGGAUGAUAUUUUGAACCGCAUGGUUCAAAAGUGAAAGACGGUCUUGCUGUCACUUAUAGAUGGAUCCGCGCUGCAUUAGCUAGUUGGUAAGGUAACGGCUUACCAAGGCAACGAUGCAUAGCCGACCUGAGAGGGUGAUCGGCCACACUGGAACUGAGACACGGUCCAGACUCCUACGGGAGGCAGCAGUAGGGAAUCUUCCGCAAUGGGCGAAAGCCUGACGGAGCAACGCCGCGUGAGUGAUGAAGGUCUUCGGAUCGUAAAACGCUGUUAUUAGGGAAGAACAUAUGUGUAAGUAACUGUGCACAUCUUGACGGUACCUAAUCAGAAAGCCACGGCUAACUACGU